RNAcentral lists this ribosomal RNA (254 nucleotides) under uncultured bacterium. RNAcentral's name for it is "partial 16S ribosomal RNA". It matches the Rfam family "Bacterial small subunit ribosomal RNA", at positions 524 to 776 of the family's 1533-position model. The record is from RNAcentral.
UACGUAGGGGGCAAGCGUUGUCCGGAAUUAUUGGGCGUAAAGAGCGUGUAGGCGGUCCGGUAAGUCCGCUGUGAAAGUCGGGGGCUCAACCCUCGAAUGCCGGUGGAUACUGUCGGGCUAGAGUGCGGAAGAGGCGAGUGGAAUUCCUGGUGUAGCGGUGAAAUGACGCAGAUAUCAGGAGGAACACCUAUUGCGAAGGCAGCUCGCUGGGACGUAACUGACGCUGAGACGCGAAAGCGUGGGGAGCAAACAGG